GGAAGCACGCCAAAGAUGGAGAGUUGGAGCUGACUGUAAAUCAGUUGCCUUCGGGCUGAGUAGGUUCGAAUCCUACUGCUUCCACCA
This 87-nucleotide transfer RNA is filed under the name Xanthocytophaga flava. RNAcentral's name for it is "tRNA-Tyr". It matches the Rfam family "tRNA". From Rfam's summary of the family: Transfer RNA (tRNA) molecules are approximately 80 nucleotides in length. The record is from RNAcentral. Lineage: Bacteria; Pseudomonadati; Bacteroidota; Cytophagia; Cytophagales; Rhodocytophagaceae.